CCCGCCUGCCCAGUGACACUAUGUUAAACGGCCGCGGUAUUUUGACCGUGCAAAGGUAGCGCAAUCACUUGUCUUUUAAAUGAAGACUAGUAUGAACGGCAUCACGAGGGCUUAGCUGUCUCCUCUUUAAAGUCAAUGAAAUUGAUCUCCCCGUGCAGAAGCGGGGAUACACUCGUAAGACGAGAAGACCCUAUGGAGCUUAAGACAUAAAGUUUAACCCAUGUAAAAUACCCCCUAAAGGAAGAAAACAUAUUGAACCUUACUGAUGUGUCUUCGGUUGGGGCGACCACGGGGAAAAGUAAAACCCCCAUAUGGACCAAGGCCACUACCCCUCAAAACUAGGCCCACAGGCCAAAUUAACAGUACUUCUGACCACAAAAGACCCGGCAUCUAGCCGGUUAAUGGACCCAGUUACCCUAGGGAUAACAGCGCAAUCCCCUCCCAGAGACCUCAUCGUCGAGGGGGUUUACGACCUCGAUGUUGGAUCAGGACAUCCUAAUGGUGCAGCCGCUAUUAAGGGUUCAUUUGUUCAAUGACUAAUAGUCCUACGUGAUCUG
RNAcentral lists this ribosomal RNA (557 nucleotides) under Benthosema pterotum (skinnycheek lanternfish). RNAcentral's name for it is "partial large subunit ribosomal RNA". It matches the Rfam family "Bacterial large subunit ribosomal RNA", at positions 1854 to 2607 of the family's 2925-position model. The record is from RNAcentral. Lineage: Eukaryota; Metazoa; Chordata; Actinopteri; Myctophiformes; Myctophidae.